RNA transcript from Anopheles funestus (African malaria mosquito), 1514 nucleotides. It is a transcript of the gene named apolipoprotein D-like, with no coding region annotated. The record is from RefSeq and is a predicted model, not a curated record. Lineage: Eukaryota; Metazoa; Arthropoda; Insecta; Diptera; Culicidae. The transcript is spliced from 5 exons.
CAGUCUUGACGCGGUACACGCGCGUAGUAGAAGGGGCUCACUUUAGUGCUGAUAAGCAAACAGCCGUACGCUGUCCGAACUCGCACGAUCACCAGCAACCCGCUCGGAUGCUGCACCGAUCGACAUCAUCACGAAGGGAAGGAAAAGGAACGCUAUAGAGCGUAAGAAUAGACGCCACAAACAGAUCAAUUGAAUAAUCGUCGGUCGGAGCGAACGCGCGACUGAUUGUGUGCGUAAAAGCGCUGAAGGCUGUCGAGAAACGUCCAGAGCUACAAGAGGAAGUCGGUUGUCUUCCAACAGACACAGUUGCACUAGAGCGCUCGCCCCGUGAAGAAGGUGCUUAAGGACGGUUUCUCCAGCAAAGGACAAACUAGCCUGUGCAGAAUCGGAGACCGAGAUAGGUUUUGUGAGUGAAAGUGAAUUGUUUGUUUGCCGUGUGUGAUUAAAACAGUGCAAUAUUUUGUCUCAUCAAACGAUGGCUAAAAUUCCAUGUGCGCUGGCGAUGAUGCUGUCCGUCAUCGCCUUUGCCGGCCUGGCCGGUAUUGUGCAGGGUCAUACCUAUAAAACCGGUGACUGUCCGACGGUGGAACCGAUGAGUGGUUUCAGCAUGAAGCAGUUCCUUGGCAUCUGGUACGUUAUCCAGAAGACCGGCACCGCAUCGACCUGCGUAAUCUACAACAUUACCAAAAGCGUGGACACACCGGACGAGUACUUUAUCGAGCAGAUCUCCCAGAAGGCUCCACUGUCGAUCGCACCCAUCAAGCACGAGUACUCGUACACGGGCAAGCUUACCGUUACCGACCGGGACGUUCCGGCCCGGAUGACCGUUCGGUUUCCGCUCAGCGUGGCCGGUUCCGCAAAGUUUGUCGUUUUCAUGACCGACUACGACACGUACGCUGGCGUGUUUUCGUGCCAGAAGAUUCCGUUUGGCCAUCGGCAGAGUGCAACCCUGCUGUCCCGAACGCGCGAUUUGGAUAAAAUCUACGUCGACAAGAUUCGCUCCCGGCUGAGCUCGUAUUCGGUGGAUCCGUUCGAUCUGAGCAUCGUCAACCAGACCGGCUGUCCGAAGGAAGGUGAAGCCGGCUGGAACAUCCACAUCGAUCCGGACACUUUCUCGACGCGCAACAUUGCCAACGCGUUCCGCAAGGCGGGCGAAGCGAUCGGUGAUGGGUUCGAGGCUGCGGUGAACGCCGGCAAAAAGGUUCAUUUAUUUUGACCCCAAAAUGCGGACUAGACUGAUAGAAACGAACUGAAACGUGAGCGAAGGCGAAAUGGAAGGGGAGGAAAUAUGGCGGCAAGUCAGGAGGACUCGUUCGGUACCGAUAAUAUACAAUAAAUACCGCGAUGGAGACAACGAUGAGGUGGAAGCCAAUGUUGAAGAAACAUCCAACCGUUCCGAACGACUGAUCAGUGACGCCGAAUGGUUGCCCUAAGUGGAUGCAGCAUAACUUUUACUUCUUUGUACUAAUUAAUUUAAUUGAUAUGUCAAUAAACAACUGAAUCUCCUCACGUGA